AGAGUUUGAUCAUGGCUCAGAGCGAACGCUGGCGGCAGGCUUAACACAUGCAAGUCGAGCGGGCGUAGCAAUACGUCAGCGGCAGACGGGUGAGUAACGCGUGGGAACGUACCUUUUGGUUCGGAACAACACAGGGAAACUUGUGCUAAUACCGGAUAAGCCCUUACGGGGAAAGAUUUAUCGCCGAAAGAUCGGCCCGCGUCUGAUUAGCUAGUUGGUGUGGUAACGGCGCACCAAGGCGACGAUCAGUAGCUGGUCUGAGAGGAUGAUCAGCCACAUUGGGACUGAGACACGGCCCAAACUCCUACGGGAGGCAGCAGUGGGGAAUAUUGGACAAUGGGCGCAAGCCUGAUCCAGCCAUGCCGCGUGAGUGAUGAAGGCCCUAGGGUUGUAAAGCUCUUUUGUGCGGGAAGAUAAUGACGGUACCGCAAGAAUAAGCCCCGGCUAACUUCGUGCCAGCAGCCGCGGUAAUACGAAGGGGGCUAGCGUUGCUCGGAAUCACUGGGCGUAAAGGGUGCGUAGGCGGGUCUUUAAGUCAGGGGUGAAAUCCUGGAGCUCAACUCCAGAACUGCCUUUGAUACUGAGGAUCUUGAGUUCGGGGGAGGUGAGUGGAACUGCGAGUGUAGAGGUGAAAUUCGUAGAUAUUCGCAAGAACACCAGUGGCGAAGGCGGCUCACUGGCCCGAUACUGACGCUGAGGCACGAAAGCGUGGGGAGCAAACAGGAUUAGAUACCCUAGUAGUCC
This 744-nucleotide ribosomal RNA is filed under the name uncultured bacterium. RNAcentral's name for it is "bacterial SSU rRNA". It matches the Rfam family "Bacterial small subunit ribosomal RNA", at positions 8 to 796 of the family's 1533-position model. The record is from RNAcentral.